RNAcentral lists this long non-coding RNA (1152 nucleotides) under Nicotiana benthamiana. RNAcentral's name for it is "long non-coding RNA (NBEN_LNC028391)". Lineage: Eukaryota; Viridiplantae; Streptophyta; Magnoliopsida; Solanales; Solanaceae. The record is from RNAcentral.
AACGAGGACAUUGUUAGUGGAUUGGCAAAGACAAAUUAGAUUACUUUUUGGCAAAUUGGGGUUGUGAUAACAGUGAUUUCGACGAAGGAAGAGGAGAACGCAAGUCUUUUCGAGACGUAGAUCCAAUUUAGCGACUUCCAUCCACAAGAAGCAAGUUAUAAUUUAUCAGGAAAACUGUUCGACAAAAUGACUGAAUCAAACAAAAUUGGAUUUAACAAGUAAAUCAAGAACGAGAAAACACCAUUCCAUCCGCAGAAUAACAGAAUCAAAAAACAAUUCCAAUUGCCAUUUUUAAGCUCAAAAGCUUGAAACAGUCUAUAAUGGAGCUGAAACUGAAAGGUAAAUAAAACUCCAAAGCCACAACAUAUAUCGCGGCAUAUACACAGAUUUCGAAUUUUACUUAAGCUUUUCCAGCAAAAACAAAUACAUUUCAAGUUAGAACAUUGAUAGCUUGACAAGAUUUGUCACGGAAACAAAGUAGUAGAAGAAGAAAGAAAUGGAAGAACGACCUUCUAUUGUUGAAAUUCUGGAGCAAAUACGAUGAAAAUAAAGCUCUAAGACAACAAAACCUUCGAGCGAGCUACAGACUAGGCACCUGGAUCGGAAUCGGCGUCAUGAACUUUUUCAACUCGACUGGAUUUGGGUAGUGAUUUCGAGCUGAUUUCCAUGCAGAUUUAGUGUAGUUUCAGAGAGUUUUGGAGCUGAGUUUACCACUGGGUUCGAACUCGGUUUAGCUUGAUUCAACGGAGGGUCGUCGGAGUUACGAGAUGAAGAAACCGUUGGAAAUUUCGAUCCCUCCCCCUUCUAACUGCUUAGGUCUUAGGCGUUCCUCUUGUGGUGUCCAAGGAAGAAGAAGGGUGUUGUCUUCUCUAGGGUCUUGGGAGGUGAAGGGUUCUUCUCAUGUUAGCCCUUUUAGGUGUAGCUAUAUAUUAUGUAUUUUCAGCUCAUUUAGGCGUUAGGUUCAUUAGAGAUUGAAUUUUUGUUCUUAUUUGUUUGUAAAGAAGGAGAUGUUGGGUCCGAAAUUGUUCUUUGUGGCGCUAACUUUCAGUUUUUUUGGCGUCCUCUGUGUAUUUUUCAGCUUUAGGGUCUUAUAGGUCUGUUUAUAUUUUGUGCAUUUUACCAAUUAAUUUCUAGACUUUUUUGUGUUAAGUA